GACGAACGCUGGCGGCGUGCUUAACACAUGCAAGUCGAACGGAAAGGCCCUGCUUUUGUGGGUUGCUCGAGUGGCGAAGGGGGGAGUGACACGUGAGUAACCUGCCCUUGACUUUGUGAUAACUUCAGGAAACUGGGGCUAAUACCGGAUAGGAGCUCCUGCUGCAUGGUGUGGGUUGGAAAGUUUCGGCGGUUGGGGAUGGACUCGCGGCUUAUCAGCUUGUUUGUGGGGUAGUGGCUUACCAAGGCUUUGACGGGUAGCCGGCCUGAGAGGGUGACCAGCCACAUUGGGACUGAGAUACGGACCAGAAUCCUACGGGAGGCAGCAGUGGGGAAUCUUGCACAACGGGCGGAAGCCUGAUGCAGCAACGCCGCGUGCGGGAUGACGGCCUUCGGGUUGUAAACCGAUUUCGACUGUGCCGAAGCGUGCGUGACGGUAAUGGGUCAAGAAGCAACGGCUAACUACGUG
RNAcentral lists this ribosomal RNA (468 nucleotides) under uncultured bacterium. RNAcentral describes it as "partial 16S ribosomal RNA". It matches the Rfam family "Bacterial small subunit ribosomal RNA", at positions 28 to 507 of the family's 1533-position model. The record is from RNAcentral.